GUCUCGGUACCGCCGGCACUCGGGGCCGCCAGGGCUCGGCCUCGCGGCGGCGACAGCGGCAACACCAUCUCGGCUGCCGCAGGAAGGCGCCCUGGCCCCGCCGGGCCUGCCCUCACCUGCCUGCAGCGCCCGGACCUCGCCUCCCUCAGGCGCGGCAGAAGGAGGUGUGAACGGGCAAAGCCUGCGAAGCCUGGAAGUGAGAGGUUGUAUCUGCAGAGAGGAGAUUUUCCUGGGAUCAAACCUGACAGCUGUUCUCUUCUACUUGUUGGAAAGGAAAAUUGAAGAUCUUGUUGAAAUAUUUUGCAAGGAUCUUUCUGUAACUCUGGCAACACGAUGCUGUAAGACCACUAGUGAUGGUUAAGUAUUUUGCUUCUUUAUUGCUGAAAGGGGCUGAAACAUUUAGACAUGAGUCGGCUGAUCAGGCAAAACAACAUGAUAUCAUAGUAGUCAAUGUAACAGCAAAAGAGGCCUCCAUUGGAGAAAAUGGUAAGAACUGUUUUCACGUUGUGACACAAGUAUUUGUCCUAUAAAUGCAUCAGCUGUUUUGUCUGACUGGUUAAUAGUCAUAUAAUGAAU
This is a long non-coding RNA of Corapipo altera (White-ruffed manakin), 576 nucleotides long. RefSeq lists it as uncharacterized. The record is from RefSeq and is a predicted model, not a curated record. The transcript is spliced from 3 exons. Lineage: Eukaryota; Metazoa; Chordata; Aves; Passeriformes; Pipridae.